GAUGAACGCUGGCGGCGUGCUUAACACAUGCAAGUCGAACGGAAAGGCCCCUUCUUGCGGGGGUACUCGAGUGGCGAACGGGUGAGUAACACGUGGGUGAUCUGCCCUGCACUUCGGGAUAAGCUUGGGAAACUGGGUCUAAUACCGGAUAGGACGAUUGUCUGGAUGCUAUUGUGGAAAGUUUUUUCGGUGUGGGAUGAGCUCGCGGCGUAUCAGCUUGUUGGUGGGGUAGUGGCUUAGCAAGGCGUCGACGGGUAGCCGGCCUGAGAGGGUGUGCGGCCACGUUGCGCCUGGGAUGCGGCCCAGACUAGUACGGGAGGCAGCGGUGGGGAAGAGUGCACAAUAGGCGGAGGCCUGUUGCGACGACGCCGCGUGGGGGAUGACAGCCUUCGGGUUGUGAACUCCUUUCGCUUGGGACGAGGCGCAAGUGACGGUACCGGGAGAAGAAGCACCGGCUAACUACGUG
RNAcentral lists this ribosomal RNA (466 nucleotides) under uncultured bacterium. RNAcentral's name for it is "partial 16S ribosomal RNA". It matches the Rfam family "Bacterial small subunit ribosomal RNA", at positions 28 to 507 of the family's 1533-position model. The record is from RNAcentral.